This 615-nucleotide long non-coding RNA is filed under the name Ursus maritimus (polar bear). RNAcentral's name for it is "lncRNA (ENSUMAG00000015842.1)". Lineage: Eukaryota; Metazoa; Chordata; Mammalia; Carnivora; Ursidae. The record is from RNAcentral.
AUUGGGACCUGGGCUCCAGGUAAGUCCUGUCUGGUGGAUAUUCAAUACUCCCUCAUUCUCUAACUCUCACCUUCUUUCCCCUUCUCCCAAUGUUGUCUUCACAGAUCUCUUUAAUCUUCAGCAUCAGGGGUCUCUUCCAUUUCCUCAGAACAUACCUUCCUCCUCGGAGUGGAUGAAGUCCCAGCUCCAUCAAGUGUUGUACAAGUUCUGCCGCCUCCGGCCUCAGCUGGAUGUGAACACAGAAUCAACCUGUUCUGGCCCCUGCCGAUUCUGCAGCGUGGGGGAGGAUGAGCUCUAGUGCCAUGACGGUGAAACUGAAGUUCUCCAUCUCUCUGCUCUGUGGGCUGCAGCGUGGGUGACACAAUGACCUCAGGCUGUGUGCUUCCAGGUGAGAAAGAAAGCUUUGUGGGAACUUGCAAGCCUAUGUGUCCCAAUGUGGUCUUCCAACCACAGAGAGGUGAGUCUCAUACACAAUGGUCAGUAGAGUUGCCCCAGAAGCUUCUAGCUGCCGCAAACGUAGGCCUAGAGUUCUUUUCUUUUUUUUUUUUUUUUAAGAAGUUGCUUUUUUAUUUUUAAGGAAACUUAAAUAAAGAACUUAGAAAGUGUGUGAAACCA